Mercenaria mercenaria is the source of this 769-nucleotide long non-coding RNA. RefSeq lists it as uncharacterized. NCBI's taxonomy places the organism in Eukaryota, Metazoa, Mollusca, Bivalvia, Venerida, Veneridae. The record is from RefSeq and is a predicted model, not a curated record. The transcript is spliced from 3 exons.
AUCCCUACUUUGACAUGUUAUAUUCCAAAUGUAUUUAUUGAUACUGUGUACAUUUUUUGUCAUUUCUGAUGUCUUUAACAGUUGUUUUAUGUGUGUUUUUCAGGAUUACAUUUCUGUGCGGAAGGAUUAAAAAACUACACCAGACUGGUGGCCAUGACAGAUGUCAGUGGGAAAUUUAAACAUGGACUAGAUACUUUGAUGUGUAGCAAAAAAGUUCAUCGUUGAUGGUGGUGUUUUUCUGUGAUAUAUUGACUGGGAUAGUAUUACUCUUCAGAAAUACAGAGCUGUCAAUGCUGCAAUUUUGUUGUGAAAUUCACAAUCCAUGUCCAAAAGUGCUUGUUUUACUAUACAGCAAAGAAGGAGAAGAUUGUACCGGGCCGACACCUAUAUGGCAAAUUCAGAAAGUGGAAUAUCUCAGCAACCAUAGGGUUUACAGUCAUGAAACUUCACACACUAGUAGCUGAUAACAAUACAAAUCAGUGGCUAAAAGGAUAUUUCCAAGGCGAUGAAUUCCAUAUGUCAGAAGGAAAUUUAGAAUCGUACAACCAGUCAGCAGCUACCCAUAAACCAGACCAACCUAUUAAGUCGAGCGGGCAGAAGCUGUUAUUCCCAGUGUAACACCGCAGAAUGACGGCUAGUUUUCGGAUUACAUUUCUGUGCGGAAGGAUAAAAAAACUACACCAGACUGGUGGCCAUGACAGAUGUCAGUGGGAAAUUUAAACAUGGACUAGAUACUUUGAUGUGUAGCAAAAAAGUUCAAUCGUUGAUG